CUGAAAAUUCUGCAACACCAAAUAUGUAUUUCCAUAUAUCAACUUGAGCUUGUUCUUCUUCUUCUUUUUCUUCCUCCUCCUUCUCCCAUGUUACCUCACUAUGUAUUUCUUCCAUUUUUAGCUAAGUCUCUCUUAAUUGCUACUAUAUAGUAGUGAACUGGUGAUGAUUUUGGUUGAAACUAGAAACUUCAUUUUUAGAAGUUAGCAACACAUGGAUGAUGGAUCACGUUGUCUUUCUUUUAAUAUUAUUAAUGAAUAUGACCUAUCACCUUGCCUUUGCAAGUUGGUGUGUAAAUUGUCCACACCAAUACAAAAC
Molecule: long non-coding RNA, 316 nt
Filed under: Trifolium pratense (red clover)
Lineage: Eukaryota; Viridiplantae; Streptophyta; Magnoliopsida; Fabales; Fabaceae
Description: long non-coding RNA (TPRA_LNC007152)
Source: RNAcentral